RNAcentral lists this ribosomal RNA (497 nucleotides) under uncultured bacterium. Its description in RNAcentral is "partial 16S ribosomal RNA". It matches the Rfam family "Bacterial small subunit ribosomal RNA", at positions 28 to 507 of the family's 1533-position model. The record is from RNAcentral.
GAUGAACGCUGGCGGCGUGCCUAAUACAUGCAAGUCGAGCGAACAGACGAGGAGCUUGCUCCUUUGACGUUAGCGGCGGACGGGUGAGUAACACGUAGGUAACCUACCUAUAAGACUGGGAUAACUUCGGGAAACCGGAGCUAAUACCGGAUAAUAUUUCGAACCGCAUGGUUCGAUAGUGAAAGAUGGCUUUGCUAUCACUUAUAGAUGGACCUGCGCCGUAUUAGCUAGUUGGUAAGGUAACGACUUACCAAGGCAACGAUACGUAGCCGACCUGAGAGGGUGAUCGGCCACACUGGAACUGAGACACGGUCCAGACUCCUACGGGAGGCAGCAGUAGGGAAUCUUCCGCAAUGGGCGAAAGCCUGACGGAGCAACGCCGCGUGAGUGAUGAAGGUCUUCGGAUCGUAAAACUCUGUUAUUAGGGAAGAACAAACGUGUAAGUAACUGUGCACGUCUUGACGGUACCUAAUCAGAAAGCCACGGCUAACUACGUG